RNAcentral lists this ribosomal RNA (482 nucleotides) under uncultured bacterium. RNAcentral's name for it is "partial 16S ribosomal RNA". It matches the Rfam family "Bacterial small subunit ribosomal RNA", at positions 30 to 507 of the family's 1533-position model. The record is from RNAcentral.
AUUGAACGCUGGCGGCAUGCUUUACACAUGCAAGUCGAACGGUAACAGCACUUCGGUGGCUGACGAGUGGCGAACGGGUGAGUAAUACAUCGGAACGUGCCCAGUAGUGGGGGAUAACUACUCGAAAGAGUAGCUAAUACCGCAUGAGAUCUAAGGAUGAAAGCAGGGGACCUUCGGGCCUUGCGCUACUAGAGCGGCUGAUGGCAGAUUAGGUAGUUGGUGGGAUAAAAGCUUACCAAGCCGACGAUCUGUAGCUGGUCUGAGAGGACGACCAGCCACACUGGGACUGAGACACGGCCCAGACGCCUACGGGAGGCAGCAGUGGGGAAUUUUGGACAAUGGGCGCAAGCCUGAUCCAGCAAUGCCGCGUGCAGGAUGAAGGCCUUCGGGUUGUAAACUGCUUUUGUACGGAACGAAAAGCCCUCUUCUAAUACAGGAGGGUCAUGACGGUACCGUAAGAAUAAGCACCGGCUAACUACGUG